RNAcentral lists this small nucleolar RNA (107 nucleotides) under Cajanus cajan (pigeon pea). RNAcentral describes it as "Plant small nucleolar RNA R71". It matches the Rfam family "Plant small nucleolar RNA R71". Rfam says of the family: R71 is a member of the C/D box family of snoRNAs containing the C (UGAUGA) and D (CUGA) box motifs. Lineage: Eukaryota; Viridiplantae; Streptophyta; Magnoliopsida; Fabales; Fabaceae. The record is from Rfam by way of RNAcentral.
AACCCAUGGUUAAGACAUUUUCUGAGCAAAGAAUUAAAUCUCUCCCAUGCUUCACAAAAUGGUUCAUCCACACCUUGCCUAAAAGUAGUGAUUUCUGAUUUGACCUU